RNAcentral lists this ribosomal RNA (555 nucleotides) under uncultured bacterium. RNAcentral's name for it is "partial 16S ribosomal RNA". It matches the Rfam family "Bacterial small subunit ribosomal RNA", at positions 355 to 900 of the family's 1533-position model. The record is from RNAcentral.
UAGGGAAUCUUCGGCAAUGGGGGCAACCCUGACCGAGCAACGCCGCGUGAGUGAAGAAGGUUUUCGGAUCGUAAAGCUCUGUUGUAAGUCAAGAACGGGUGUGAGAGUGGAAAGUUCACACUGUGACGGUAGCUUACCAGAAAGGGACGGCUAACUACGUGCCAGCAGCCGCGGUAAUACGUAGGUCCCGAGCGUUGUCCGGAUUUAUUGGGCGUAAAGCGAGCGCAGGCGGUUUGAUAAGUCUGAAGUUAAAGGCUGUGGCUCAACCAUAGUUCGCUUUGGAAACUGUCAAACUUGAGUGCAGAAGGGGAGAGUGGAAUUCCAUGUGUAGCGGUGAAAUCGCGUAGAUAUAUGGAGGAACACCGGUGGCGAAAGCGGCUCUCUGGUCUGUAACUGACGCUGAGGCUCGAAAGCGUGGGGAGCGAACAGGAUUAGAUACCCUGGUAGUCCACGCCGUAAACGAUGAGUGCUAGGUGUUGGAUCCUUUCCGGGAUUCAGUGCCGCAGCUAACGCAUUAAGCACUCCGCCUGGGGAGUACGACCGCAAGGUUGAAAC